AUGCAGAUAUUCGUAAAGACCCUCACCGGCAAGACCAUCACGCUUGAGGUUGAGUCCUCGGACACCAUCGAUAACGUCAAGGCCAAGAUCCAGGACAAGGAGGGAAUCCCUCCGGACCAGCAGCGUCUCAUCUUUGCUGGCAAGCAGCUCGAGGAUGGCCGCACCCUGGCAGACUACAACAUCCAGAAGGAGUCCACCCUCCACCUGGUGCUCAGGCUCCGUGGUGGUAUGCAGAUAUUCGUAAAGACCCUCACCGGCAAGACCAUCACCUUGGAGGUUGAGUCCUCGGACACCAUUGACAAUGUGAAGGCCAAGAUCCAGGACAAGGAGGGCAUUCCCCCGGACCAGCAGCGUCUCAUCUUCGCUGGCAAGCAGCUUGAGGAUGGUCGCACCCUUGCGGCCUACAACAUCCAGAAGGAGUCCACCCUUCACUUGGUGCUCCGUCUGCGUGGUGGCCAGUAA
RNAcentral lists this ribosomal RNA (462 nucleotides) under Triticum aestivum (bread wheat). RNAcentral's name for it is "partial small subunit ribosomal RNA". Lineage: Eukaryota; Viridiplantae; Streptophyta; Magnoliopsida; Poales; Poaceae. The record is from RNAcentral.